Non-coding RNA from Meiothermus ruber DSM 1279, 107 nucleotides. NCBI's taxonomy places the organism in Bacteria, Thermotogati, Deinococcota, Deinococci, Thermales, Thermaceae. The record is from Rfam.
GUGAUCGGCUAGGGGUGCCCCUAUAGGGGCUGAGAGCAGGGUAAACCCUGUAACCCUUGGAACCUGAUCCGGUUAGUACCGGCGGAGGGAAGCCCAUGGAGAAAUCC